AGGAAAAGAAACCAACAGGGAUUGCCCCAGUAACGGCGAGUGAAGCGGCAACAGCUCAAAUUUGAAAUCUGGCCCCCGGGUCCGAGUUGUAAUUUGUAGAGGAUGCUUUUGGCAAGGUGCCUUCCGAGUUCCCUGGAACGGGACGCCAUAGAGGGUGAGAGCCCCGUCUGGUCGGACACCGCGCCUCUGUAAAGCUCCUUCGACGAGUCGAGUAGUUUGGGAAUGCUGCUCUAAAUGGGAGGUAUAUGUCUUCUAAAGCUAAAUACCGGCCAGAGACCGAUAGCGCACAAGUAGAGUGAUCGAAAGAUGAAAAGCACUUUGAAAAGAGAGUUAAAAAGUACGUGAAAUUGUUGAAAGGGAAGCGAUUGUGACCAGACUUGGGCCUGUUUGAUCAGCUUGGGUUCUCCCGGGUGCACUCUUUCAGGCCUGGGCCAGCAUCAGUUCGUGGCGGGGGACAAAUGACUCGGGAAUGUGGCUCCCCCCGGGGAGUGUUAUAGACCGUAUCGUAAUACCCUGCGUCGGACUGAGGGCCGCGCACUUCGGUGCAAGGAUGCUGGCG
RNAcentral lists this ribosomal RNA (559 nucleotides) under Thelonectria blackeriella. RNAcentral's name for it is "eukaryotic LSU rRNA". It matches the Rfam family "Eukaryotic large subunit ribosomal RNA", at positions 54 to 631 of the family's 3401-position model. The record is from RNAcentral. Lineage: Eukaryota; Fungi; Ascomycota; Sordariomycetes; Hypocreales; Nectriaceae.